This 438-nucleotide unclassified non-coding RNA is filed under the name Hevea brasiliensis (rubber tree). The record is from RNAcentral. Lineage: Eukaryota; Viridiplantae; Streptophyta; Magnoliopsida; Malpighiales; Euphorbiaceae.
UGAAAUGAGGAAGCAAAGGCAUAGUAUAUAUGUUCAUCCGUUUUUGCAAGACACAUUAAAGAAGAAUACUUGAGAAAAAUUAGCAGGCAACGUCACAAGCGAUGACAGAUACUCCAAAAGAGGAAAAUUUCACACGUGGGUUCAUGGAUCACAGAAUUUUUUGAUGCUAUUGACAUGGGAAUACAUAACAAGUAGCUGAAUGCUCCAUGCACGAAGCACAAUGUUCUUCCACUAAAUUUAUAAAAUUCGAAAUACCCAACACAAAACACUAUAUUUUCAAACACCCAUUCACAUGAAGAAACCAAGUUACUAAGCUCCCAUAUUGAGUAUGUAUCAAAGCCUUCGAAACACCAAGGAAAACAACAAAAAAUGGCAAGUCUAAGCACCAAAAAGGAACAUGACCAACCCAUGAAUAUUCUUCCUUAAAAUCAAACAUUG